UGGGGAAUAUUGCACAAUGGGGGAAACCCGUAGAUGCAGCGACGCCGCGUGAGCGAAGAAGUAUUUCGGUAUGUAAAGCUCUAUCAGCAGGGAAGAAGAAUGACGGUACCUGACUAAGAAGCACCGGCUAAAUACGUGCCAGCAGCCGCGGUAAUACGUAUGGUGCAAGCGUUAUCCGGAUUUACUGGGUGUAAAGGGAGCGCAGGCGGUGCGGCAAGUCUGAUGUGAAAGCCCGGGGCUCAACCCCGGGACUGCUUUUGAAACUGUGGAGCUAGAGUGCAGGAGGGGCAAGUGGAAUUCCUAGUGUAGCGGUGAAAUGCGUAGAUAUUAGGAGGAACACCAGUGGCGAAGGCGGCUUGCUGGACUGUAACUGACACUGAGGCUCGAAAGCGUGGGGAGCAAACAGGAUUAGAUACCCUGGUAGU
RNAcentral lists this ribosomal RNA (425 nucleotides) under uncultured Roseburia sp. Its description in RNAcentral is "bacterial SSU rRNA". It matches the Rfam family "Bacterial small subunit ribosomal RNA", at positions 355 to 794 of the family's 1533-position model. Lineage: Bacteria; Bacillati; Bacillota; Clostridia; Lachnospirales; Lachnospiraceae. The record is from RNAcentral.